CGGCUCUGGAACUCACUUCCUUCAGCUUAAGAAAUAUAGAUUCCCUUAUUUAAAUCACAACGCAAAACCUACUUGUUUAAACUGGCUUACUCGCUUUAAUACAGAUUUUACUUACUGUCAAAUCUUGGGGGGGGGGGGGGGGGGGGUUGUUUGUUUUUGUUGUUGUUGUUGUUUGUGGUUGUAUUUUGCUGGGUUUUUUUUAAUAUUUUAAUUUAUUAGGAUCUAUUUUAAUCUACUGUUUUAUUUAUGUCAUUUUCUCUUUGUACGGUGACCUUGGGUUUUACAAAGGCGCCCUCAAAUAAAAUGUAUUAUUAUUAUUAUUAUUAUUAUUAUUAUUACCAGAGGACAGGAGUCCAGGAACAGAGCCAAGCCCUGACACAUGAGGAGCUUGCGGGGGAGUAUCCCAAAUUUUUUAAUUUUAUUUAAUUUUAUUUAUAUUUAUUUAUUUUUAUUUAAUGUUUUUUGUUUGUUUGUUUGUUUGUUUUUAAAUUCUGGAUUACAUCAGAAAUUUAACCAAGGUGUUGAUAAGGCGCAAAUAAAAUGUAAUAAACCUUUCCAUCGGGGCACGCAGCCUCCAACUCUCCCCAUCCUCACUGUUACAAAAGCACCUGUUUAAAUAAGACUGUUAUUUUCAUUUAACACAUUUUCACACGUGCACACACACAGGGCCCCCAUAACAGUUGUCUUAAAAAGUGUCAUUUUUGGUCAAAUAAGGUGAACUUUUUGUCUUAACCUCAAACUAUCACAAGUAUCCAUAUUUUUCAUGAUCAUAUUUUUUGUGCAUAUGAUUAUUGAUUACUAACAAGUUAUGAAAUAUCAUAAUUUUAUAAUAGUCAGAAAAAUUAUGACUGACAUGAACUUUUAUCAGUUCCUGUAUUACUUCCUAAGUCAUAAAUUAUUUGAUAAAGAGGCCAUAAAACACUGGUUUGACAUGAGGGGUAUAACAGCCCUCCUUGUGGUUAAUAACAGAUAAAUAGCACUCCCUGCUGGAAAACUGGAUCAACAUUUACUUGACAUAAUAUUAAAAUGUCUUCUUAGGUGUUUCAUACAUAUAAUGAAACACCUAUGAAACAGAAAUGUUUCA
Long non-coding RNA from Astatotilapia calliptera (eastern happy), 1084 nucleotides. The record is from Ensembl. NCBI's taxonomy places the organism in Eukaryota, Metazoa, Chordata, Actinopteri, Cichliformes, Cichlidae.